CGUGGAGAAAUUUGAUGGGAAAAUCAAUUUUAGCUUGUAGCAAGUACAAGUUAGAGAUUUAUUGAUUCAAGUUGGAUUCCACAAGGCUUUGAAAGGAAAACCAACCAAUAAUUCUAGCAAGGAAGUUGAAUCCAGUACGAUCGAUUCGGAUUGAGAAGAAUUGGAUUUGAAAGCUGCAAGCAUGAUACGUCUUUGUCUUGCUAAAAAUAUUCUUGCAAAUAUUCAUGGAAUAUCUGCUGCAAAGGAACUAUGGAAGAAACUAGAAGAACUAUAUCAAACGAAAAGCCUCUCAAAUCGAUUGUACCUAAAUGAGCAAUUUCAUUCAUUGGGCAUGGAGACAGGUACGAAAAUCUCAGACCAUCUUAACGUUCUCAACGGGAUUGUUUUAGAACUGGAAUCUAUUGGAGUCAAGAUAGAUGAUGAGGAUAUGGCACUAUGGCUCUUCUGGUCUCUUCUGUUUACUUAUGAACAUAUCAAGCCAAUCUUGAUGUAUGGGAAGGAAACUGUGAGUUUUGCAGAAGUGACAAGCAAUUUGAUCUCAGAAGAAAGAAGAUCAAGGGGACAGAAUGCUCCAUAUGAAAAUGCGUGCUUAUGACUGAAAAGGGAAAGAAGGGCAACUUCAUGAGGAAGAAAGUAACUUGUUGAAACUGCGGCUAGACUGGCCACGUAAAGAAAAAUUAUCCAAAAAGUGGAGCAGGGUUGGCUAACUAUUUGGGAUCGGACAAUGUGUCUCUCCUGGAGGAUGAGGACACGGAUGUAGUGUUGUAAAGUAAGAUGGAAACAUCCUCAUGGCAUGUUGCCAGUUGCCAUGAUAAAGGAUGAGUUCUUACUGGCGCGGGUUAGCAUAUCUGCACAUAGCAUUAACUGACAUUUGAUACAAGGUGUGUAGGUAUAUAGUGGUGUUGUAAUGGCGAUGGCUGAGGAGCUCUUUGAAAAAGUUAGUGGGAGAGUUGUGCCAUAACUAUCAGCAGGGUUGUUUCAACAUAUAGUCGAUGAAAUGCUCGGAGUUCAUAAAUAAUUCUGAAUGGUUAUACUUAUAUGGUGGAGUAUGGGAUCGUUAAAGUGUGUCAAAAGUUUACCUGUUUUUCCUAAGUAUUGUGAUUAAAAGUUGUAGAAGAGAUGACAAGAUUUUGACUCGUUUUCGGCAAGGGGAGAUUGUUGGGUAAUAGCCUCAAAAGCUGGAGGACUUCUAUUGUAAAUAAUGAAAUGUAGUUAUUGUAUGGAAAACUUUUAAUUAAAAUUGAGAGUAGAAUUCUUGCAGAAUUUGGUCUCCAAUUUACAGUCGAUUUUGGAGUCUUAC
Molecule: long non-coding RNA, 1300 nt
Filed under: Olea europaea subsp. europaea
Lineage: Eukaryota; Viridiplantae; Streptophyta; Magnoliopsida; Lamiales; Oleaceae
Source: RNAcentral